GGCUUCGUGGUCGGUCGAGUGGUAAGGACACUUGCCUCUUACCCUGGAGUCCCGGGUUUGAUCCCCGGUCGAGAUCU
Molecule: non-coding RNA, 77 nt
Organism: Rhamnusium bicolor
Lineage: Eukaryota; Metazoa; Arthropoda; Insecta; Coleoptera; Cerambycidae
Source: the annotation of a GenBank genome assembly